GUCGGGUGCCUUUGGGAAUUUAAAAAUACAUUCUGUGAGCAAAGAGAAAUGCAGACAUGUUCUCAGCGCUGAUCAUUUUCAUCGUGGAUCUAAUGCUCGCUCUGGCCAUUAUUGUUACUUUCUACGCUGUUUACUUAAUCACAGCCACGGGUAUUUUUGUCCUUUUCUAUCUUUUCAAAGGAGAGAUGGAAAAAAACUAUGACUUUAACAAGGGCAGAAUGUGGAUGCCGGAUUCUAGCAAAGCCACUGGGAAGACACUUCCAAGCAACUUAGAGAACGUGGGCCCCAGGGUGCUUCCUGCCCGUUUUCCAGCUGAGAGAGAAGGGAGCUUCCUGCCAAAGGAGAAGCAGUCUUUCUUCUAAAGAGCAAGGGCUCUGUGGCAGAAGAGCCACAGGGAAAGACUUGCCAGAAUACAGUCCGCAGCCAACCAAGGGGUAUUUUUUAAGGUAAAUGAGAGUGGAGAAAAUUGGGAAAGACCCAGUCAUUCCUUUUCUGGUGGCAGUGAGAUCAUCUAAAGGAGAAUCGACUGGAGAAGGAGUGUUCCUAUGGUCAGGAUCCUGAAGGCUUUGUUACUUGGUUUGCAGGAGUUAGAGGGCUAGAAGCCAAAGAUUUUCUGGUUUGUGGAUGGUUGAAGGAAAGCAAGCUCUCAGAAGACAAAGAGAGAACUCAAGUUCAAGAAUGCAUACCUACAGUCCCCUUUUUUGUUUGUUUCUGCCUCUGGUGACAUUGCUAACAAUAUGUAAGCUUUUGGAUUUAGGAGUUUGAUUAGGAUCUUCACACCACUUACUGGCAAUGUAUUUGUGUCAACUCAGUAUCUCUCUAGGCCUCUGUUACCCCAUCUGAAAAGAAAUGGCAUAGGCGUGUAGGGCUCCUGAAAGUCUAAAAUGCUUUAACAAGGGAUUUAAAAAUAUGAAGCCUGGGUCUGGCGAUAUGGCUCAGUUGGUAGAGUGCUUGCCUUGCAUGCACAAGGCCCUGGGUUCAAUUCCCAGCACCAAAAAAAAAAAAAAAAAAAAAAAAGAAGCCUGCUUAGCCAAGAUGACAAUUUAUACAGGAUCUCUAAGUAUCUCCUAAAUACUCUGUUAAUACCUGGGGGAUGCUUGAGAUGCAGGAUCCCCUAAGGGAUCAAGUGUUUUUUUUGUUUGUUUCACCCCUGCUCACAAUUAACGUGUGACAUUCACACCAGCAUCCCUCAGGGAUGCAUAACCCCAAUAGCUCGGAUAUUCUGUCCAAACUUCUAAACCCAUGCAUUUUUGUUCUAUGCACAAGCAAGACAUCUAUUUUGUACUCAGUGUCAAUCCCUUAAAUAAUUUUUCCUUUAGGAUCUCAAUUUGCUCAUCCAUAAGUGAACAUACAGUAUAAAUAACAUUAAUAGCCAUUCCUGGACUGGUAUUUUAUCAUGUAAAGGUAUAUUCAGAAACUGCUUUAUGCAACUCACUAAAGAAACAAAGUGACACAAUACUCAGACUUUCACUUCAAAAGGGCUCCAUUAUGUUUCAAUUUGAAAGGACCCAUGAGCUAGAAAGAAAAUAGAGACCUCAGGCAAAGUAAUUGAGUAGUUAAGCAAACAAAGUGCAAUACUUUUCAAAAAUUAAAGUUUCAAUAAAACCCCAGAAUUUGCCAGUUUUAAUUUUAUUCAUUUUUAAUAUCCUCCUGUGUUUUGAAUGAGAAAAUUAAUCCAGGCUGUCCAAUUGAUUUGCAUUGCAAAUCAUCUUUUGUGCCUUAGAAGACAGAUUUUGCUAAAAGCAAAUGGAUGGUUUGGCAGUGAUUUCUUGGAUAUGACACCAAAAGCAUAGGCAAAAAAAAAAAAAAAAAAAAAGUAAAAAUAGAUAAAUUGGACUACCUCAAAAUUAAGAACUUCUGUGCAUCCAAGGAUAACAAUCAAUAGAGAGAGAAGACAACCCACAGAAUGGAAAAAAAUAUCUGCAAAUCAUGUGUUUGACAAGGGGAUCCUAUCCAAAAUAUAUAAAGAACUUCUGCAAUUCAACAACAACAAAAAUGAAAAACCAGGUUGAAGAAUGGAAAGAGGACUUGUAUAGGCAAUUUCUCCAAAGAUGUACAAAUGACCAAAACACACAUAAAAAGACAAUUCAUGUCACUAAUCAUUAGGGAAUGUAAAUCAAAACCACAU
This is a long non-coding RNA of Sciurus carolinensis (gray squirrel), 2128 nucleotides long. RefSeq lists it as uncharacterized. The record is from RefSeq and is a predicted model, not a curated record. Lineage: Eukaryota; Metazoa; Chordata; Mammalia; Rodentia; Sciuridae. The transcript is spliced from 2 exons.